GACGAACGCUGGCGGCGUGCUUAACACAUGCAAGUCGAACGGAAAGGCCCUGCUUUUGUGGGGUGCUCGAGUGGCGAACGGGUGAGUAACACGUGAGUAACCUGCCCUUGACUUUGGGAUAACUUCAGGAAACUGGGGCUAAUACCGGAUAGGAGCUCCUGCUGCAUGGUGGGGGUUGGAAAGUUUCGGCGGUUGGGGAUGGACUCGCGGCUUAUCAGCUUGUUGGUGGGGUAGUGGCUUACCAAGGCUUUGACGGGUAGCCGGCCUGAGAGGGUGACCGGGCACAUUGGGACUGAGAGACGGCCCAGAGUCCUACGGGAGGCAGCAGUGGGGAAUAUUGCACAAUGGGCGGGAGCCUGAUGCAGCAACGCCGCGUGCGGGAUGACGGCCUUCGGGUUGUAAACCGCUUUCGCCUGUGACGAAGCGUGAGUGACGGUAAUGGGUAAAGAAGCACCGGCUAACUACGUG
This 468-nucleotide ribosomal RNA is filed under the name uncultured bacterium. RNAcentral describes it as "partial 16S ribosomal RNA". It matches the Rfam family "Bacterial small subunit ribosomal RNA", at positions 28 to 507 of the family's 1533-position model. The record is from RNAcentral.